AUAACAUGAAUAGCUAGAGUUACAAACCAUAAUUAAUAUGAGUCAUAUCUCAUGGCCAAAUACAUAUAACUUAAUAUAAGCCAAUACAUUUGGCUAAAAUCAUGAUAACACAUGUCAUAAAACUAGAUCCCUAUACAUGCCACUCACUUGAAAAUUUCUAACAUGUGCUUUAUUAUCCCAAAGGUAGUGACUUGAUAGUGUGAUGCUGCCUCCGACGAUCUCCAACCCUGAGCUAAUCUGACAAAGCUAAAAGAAAUGGAAAGGAGGGAGUAAGCUUCACGCUUAGUAAGUCUAUAUAAAAAUAAUAAGAAAUUUAUCAAUAUGCUUCUACCAAUUCUUACAACAUGAUCUCAAGGUAAUACUCUCAUAAUUGUCUAUUUACCUAUGUUCAGGUCAAGCUGUAUUCUCGAGUCAUAGUCACUAAAUAAUUUAUAUCAGGAGCUACGGUAUCCUAAAUUAAGAUCUGUAUAUUUUCCCUAAAACUAGACUCAUAUACCUUCUUACCAUAAAAUUUUUAGAAUUUUUGGUCUUGCUAAUAAGUACAUUUUAUUCUUUAAAUUUACCCCUUUCUCGCUAUCUGAUAGUUCUAACCCGUUUUCACUAAAAAUUAAUUGUCUCACAAUACAAGACUAGGAUGAUGUUCCCGUCUAUUUCUCUUGAAAAUAGACUCAUAUAGAUUAUAACCCAUAAUUAUUUUUUUACAAAUUUCAAUAAUUUUCUAAAAUCAGAAUAUGGGAUUUCGAAAUCAUUCUGACUCUGUCCUGCAACAAUUUAAAUAUUUCAUAAUAUGAAACUCUUUUUCUUACACCGUUUCUCCUAUGUAAAACUAGACUCAUUAAGCUUUAAUUUCAUAUUUUAUUUAGCCUCUAACUAAAUUUUCACAAUUUUUGGUGGAUUUUCAAAUUCAAACUGCUGUUGCUGUCUAAAAUUGUUUUAGUGUAAAUUAAUGAUACUAAGUUUAUCACACCUUAUUAAUUCAUUUCACCGUAUUGGUAAAGAUACAUAUUUAUACAAGUAUAGACCUAUAAUCACAAGGUCACCACAAAUCAUUCUCAUAGGCAUGAAUUACCUAUUUACACCUUCACCCAUGUGCCAUCAUAAACCGAAAUAAUUUCUCAUGAGCUUGGCAUACAUACCUGUGUUACUCAACAUACUCAUAUUCAUUCCUUAUUAAUCAUACAAAAUGAAUUGAAUUCACAUCUCAUCAAUUUCAUGUAAGUACCUGUACCACUCACCACAUGGUCAUAAGUUCUCAUUUCGAUAUAAACCGUAAAUCUCCUGUUGAACCAUUUGGAAUAGUACAGGAUAUUCAAUAGCCCCAAACAUGAGAUAAUAUGCUGACGCCAUAUCUCAAACAUGGUCUUACACUGGCUAGCACAUCAAAGUCGAUACCAUGUCCCAAACAGGUCUUACACUGACUUUCAUAUAUCGAGGCCGAUGCCAUGUUCCAGAUAGGUCUUACACUGGCUCUCAUCUAUCAGUGUCGAUGCCAUGUCCUAGACAGGUCUUACACUGACACACAACAGGCUGACGCCAUGUCCCAGACAGGUCUUGCACUAGCUUGUAUAUCUCGAGGCCUAUGCAUUUCCCAAACAUGUCUUACACUAGCUCUCGUCUCAAUGCUGAUGCAUGUCCCAAACAUGUCUUACAUUGGCUUGUAUAUCUCGAGACCGAUGCAUGUCCCGGACAUGUCUUACACUGGCUCUGGUAAUGUGGCCGAUACAUGUCCCAAACAUGUCUUACACUAGGACACAUAUCACCUAAUGUCAUGGCAUGAAUAUUCAAAUCUAUUCCUCAUGUUCAACCGGAAGUCUUUAUAAUAUAAAUUCUCAUUCACCAUGCAAAUCAACAAUUCAUACUGUAAUAAUCGUAUAAUACAUGAUAACAUUGAAUUUUGCAUUAUUUACGUACAACUUACUUGUUUCAAUGGAAUGUCAUAUUCCAUCAACAUAUAAUUAAAUACAAUCAUAGCAAAAUAGAUUUCAAGUAUAUUAACUGUAACGCCCCUAACCCGAAUCCGUCACCGGAAUAGAGUUACAGAGCAUUACCGGAGUUACCGAUUUAUUUAUCAGAUAUUUCAUUUCAUCUAACGUUCAUAUUUGGAACCAAUUAAAAUCAAACAUAUUGUCCCUUAACGUACUUAUUUUUCUCGAUAUGUUGUACUUGAAUUUAUUACUUGUCUCAAUUUAAUUAAUUUCCUUGUAUCAACGUAUCAAAGAUGAUUCCUAUUUACAUGUCAUGAUAAAUAUAAUUCUCUUGCCAUUUCUUCAUAAACAUAAAUCAGGAUAAUUCAUUAUAUCGAUAUUUCAUGCAUUUAAAAAUACAAUUCAAGUUACACUAACUUACCUCGUUACUUGUUCAUGUUUAUAAUUUCAUUAAUCCGAUAUCUUUUCUUUACCACGUUCAAGUCUCGUAUUCGAGUCAUCCGGAUCUUUAUAAAGAAAUUUGAUCGUCGUUUUCAUUUAUUUCAUGUUCUAAUACAUUCAAUUGAUGCUCUAAACAAAAUUACCAUUUUACCCCUAAACUUUUUAAUUAAUGACGAUUUCAUCCUUAGGCUAAAAAAAUAAAAUUCUUGCAAUUUAAUCCUUAUUUCUAGCCGUUAUUCUCAAACAAAUUGAUAACAACCCAUGAAUUCUAUAAAAUAUCAGAAUUUUCCAUAAUUUCAACAAUUUUCAAUUUAAUCCUUAAAACAUGUUUUUCCCCGAUCUUGAGCUAAAUUAAUAAUUUCAUUCAAUUUUGUAAUUUUAAAUAAUAAAAUAAUCCAUAUCAUGCAAAUUGGUCAUUUCUAACAUUUUUACAAAAUUACCCAUAAAGUUUUAAUUUUAUUCAAUUUAGUCCCUAAGCCUAAAACAUGCAAAUUAGCCAUGCUAGAUGAGUAUUCAUACAUAUUUUCCUCUUCCUCCUCUCCAUUCCACAUCCUUAAUUUAUAUAAUAUGCUUAUAAGUAACAUUAUCAAUAAUUUCACUAUUUACUUAUAUGUAUAUUCAAAACUGUCCAUUUGCGUCAUAGUCACUAAAUUAUUUAUAUCUUGAGCUAAAGAACUCGAAAUUAAGAUCUGAUAAUUUUCCAUGAAACUAGACUUAUGUAUCUUAUUACGAUAAAAUUUUCAGAAUUUUUGGUUUAGCCAAUAAGUACAGUUUAUUCUUUAAAUUCACCCUUAUUCUGCUGCCUGACAAUUCUGACCCUUUUUAACUAAAAAUUAAUUAUCUCAUUUUACAGAAUUCAAACGAUGUUCCUGUUUAUUUAUCUUAAAAAUAGACUCAUUCAUAAUUCUAAUCAUAUAAAUUUAAGCCAAUAAUUAUUUUUCUCCAAUUUUUUAUGAUUUUCCAAAGUUAGAACAGAGGAACCCGAAAUCAUUCUGACCUUAUCUCACAAAAUUUACUAUAUCUCACAAUUUACAAUUUCAUUUCUUACACCGUUUCUUUUAUAAGAAACUAGACUAAAUAAUAUUUAAUUUAAUAUUUAUUUAACCUCUAAUUCGAUUCCCACAAUUUUGGGUGAUUUUUCAAAUUUAGACUAUUUCUACUGUCCAAAACUGUUUUAGUGCAAGGUAUUAUUUGCCAUGUUUAUAACACCCUUAUUUUCUUUCUCUACACUAUUUUUGAUUACUUUCUCUUAUUUUCUCUUCACUAACAUGACAAGAACAUAGGACCAUAUAUAAGAAAACUCUAAAUCAACAUCAAUUUCAUGCUUUUUCAACAAUAUUAAACUUAAAAAUAUAUUGAAAUCUUGAUGUUCUUACCUUUUCUUAUUGACUUCAAUCUUUAACUUGAUUUUUCUCUCUCCUCCAGCUUCUAUUUCUUGAAUCCAACUUGAUAUUCUUGCUCCCCAUCAUCUCCUUGCUAUCUUUCUCUCUUGAUGGCUAUGGAAAUUCUUUCAAUUUUUAGGUGAAAAUAAUGAAUUUUUGGUGGAAGGACUAAAUUGUAAAGAAAAAAACUUCUUUUCUUCUUCCUCUCUCACGUUGGUUUGCAUGGGAAAGAAAAGAUGAUGAUUCUUCAUCUUUAUUUCCUUAUAUAUACUAAAUAAAAUAAUAAUAAAAUAAUAAAAUAUUAUUUAAAAAUUAAUUUAAAGUAUUAAUAAACUUAUAUUUAUUUAUUUAAUUUAUCUAAAAUAUCUCCAACAUCAUCAUUGUCUCUAGAUUUCUCUCUCUUCCAAUUGACCAUAUUGCCCUUAGUGAUCUUUUAAAUAUCCAUUCUUGAGUCAUCACUUAAUUUGGUAAAAUUACAAUUUAGUCCCUCAUAAUUCUUCACCUAUUCAAUUUGGUCCUAAUUCAUCAAUUUUCCUUGGUUUCUAAAUCAUUCUACCCUUAAAAUAUUUGCUCUAUUAGUCCUUAAACUUUUCAUAUUUACACUUUAAUCCCUCAAAAUUUGAGUAUUUACUCUUGGGCCACAUAACUUUUCUCAUUUUUACAAUUUAGUCCUUUCUUGAAUCAAUAUGUCGUAAUAUACUUCCCAGUGGCAUAACUCAAUUUUUCCUCUUCUUGUCACUUUAUUUCCUUAUUUUACUAUAUUAAGGAUAAUAUCUUACUGUAAAAAUUUUCAGGGUACUACAUUAACAAUAACAUGGAUAACAUGUUUAUUUAGUCAUACGGACUUAUCUCGAAUGCAAUUUCAGCUAAUUACUCCAUUUUAGUCCAUAACCUCGUACUUUUUGAUUUAAACCCAAAUCUCGAUUUUCUUGAUCUAACAUGAUGAAAUUCAUUCAUUAAUAAUUACAUUAAUUAAAACAUUCUAUAAUUCACAAUUUGGCAAAAUGACCAUUUUGCCCUUAGACUUUACAAAAAUUAUGAUUUUGCCCUUAGGCUCGUAAAUCGAUUUUUAUCGAAUUUUCUCAUUUACCAAGCCUAGCCGAAUACUUUUUAUAACUAUAGAAACUCACAAUUUCAAUUAUUUCACACAUUUACAACUUAUUUUAUAACUUUACAAAAUAACCCUUUUUAGGUGUUUUCAUGCAAACUUCUUUCACAAAAGUUGUUUAUUACACAACCAAGACUCAUGUUAUUCCAUAAAAAUUUAACAAACCACAUGAAUACUCUCAUUAAAAAACCUAUACUUUCAACUAUUUUGCAAAAUAGUCCCCUCAUUAGCUAGAUUAUGCUACAAGGGUCUCAAAAGUACAAAAAUUAUCAAGAAAGGCCAUCAAAAUCACUUACUUGCCAGGGUGAAGAGUGGCUGAUAUUUUUGAGCUUUCAAAACCCCGUCUUUGCUGGUAUUUUUAGUGGAUGAGGAAGAAAGAAGAAAAGAUGAC
RNAcentral lists this long non-coding RNA (5247 nucleotides) under Gossypium barbadense (sea-island cotton). Its description in RNAcentral is "long non-coding RNA (GBAR_LNC007439)". Lineage: Eukaryota; Viridiplantae; Streptophyta; Magnoliopsida; Malvales; Malvaceae. The record is from RNAcentral.